Molecule: ribosomal RNA, 510 nt
Filed under: Mycobacterium avium complex sp.
Lineage: Bacteria; Bacillati; Actinomycetota; Actinomycetes; Mycobacteriales; Mycobacteriaceae
Description: bacterial SSU rRNA
Rfam family: Bacterial small subunit ribosomal RNA
Source: RNAcentral
GAAAGGCCUCUUCGGAGGUACUCGAGUGGCGAACGGGUGAGUAACACGUGGGCAAUCUGCCCUGCACUUCGGGAUAAGCCUGGGAAACUGGGUCUAAUACCGAAUAGGACCUUUAGACGCAUGUCUUUUGGUGGAAAGCUUUUGCGGUGUGGGAUGGGCCCGCGGCCUAUCAGCUUGUUGGUGGGGUGAUGGCCUACCAAGGCGACGACGGGUAGCCGGCCUGAGAGGGUGUCCGGCCACACUGGGACUGAGAUACGGCCCAGACUCCUACGGGAGGCAGCAGUGGGGAAUAUUGCACAAUGGGCGCAAGCCUGAUGCAGCGACGCCGCGUGGGGGAUGACGGCCUUCGGGUUGUAAACCUCUUUCACCAUCGACGAAGGUCCGGGUUUUCUCGGAUUGACGGUAGGUGGAGAAGAAGCACCGGCCAACUACGUGCCAGCAGCCGCGGUAAUACGUAGGGUGCGAGCGUUGUCCGGAAUUACUGGGCGUAAAGAGCUCGUAGGUGGUUUG